UGCCAGCCGCCGCGGUAAGACGGAGGGUGCAAGCGUUAUCCGGAUUUACUGGGUUUAAAGGGUACGUAGGCGGUCUUGUAAGUCGAUGGUGAAAUCUAGCAGCUUAACUGCUAGCGUGCCAUUGAUACUGCUAGACUUGAGUAUAGUCGAGGUGGGCGGAAUUCUACAUGUAGCGGUGAAAUGCAUAGAUAUGUAGAGGAACGCCGAUAGCGAAGGCAGCUCACUAGGCUAUUACUGACGCUGAGGUACGAAAGCGUGGGAGCGAACAGGAUUAGAUA
Molecule: ribosomal RNA, 278 nt
Filed under: uncultured bacterium
Lineage: Bacteria
Description: partial 16S ribosomal RNA
Rfam family: Bacterial small subunit ribosomal RNA
Source: RNAcentral